This is an RNA transcript of Populus trichocarpa (black cottonwood), 12570 nucleotides long. RefSeq lists it as uncharacterized. The record is from RefSeq and is a predicted model, not a curated record. NCBI's taxonomy places the organism in Eukaryota, Viridiplantae, Streptophyta, Magnoliopsida, Malpighiales, Salicaceae. The transcript has 2 exons.
AUAGGUAUAAUAUAAACUCAACAUGAACUUUAAUGUUUAUAUCCAAGAAAAAUUGUUAUUAGCAUGUCUUAUCUUUUUAUCUUACUAAUCCUUAAUACCUUGCUUUUUCAAUGGUUAAUCUAGAUUUGUGUUGUAUAACACUUGGUACAUCAAAUGCUUGAUCCUUCAUAGUUUUCGGCCGACAUCGUUGUUAUGAUAGGAACUUGAUUUGUUGUUAACAUAAGCUAGCAACAUGAAUGCCUGAUGAUAUUUAUAAGUAUGGUGUUACUUAGACAAGAUAAUUAAUAUGAUCAUGUUAAUACUUUAUAAUGAGCCAUUAAUGAUAAAUCAUCCGAUUAGAACCUCCUUUGUGUGUGGUUUCUAGUUGAGUAAUAAAAAGAGUUUAUAUUAUAUUUAUUUGAAAUACCAUUAGUGAAUCCUCUAACCUUGACAUUUGUUUUUAUCAUUAUUUAAUCCUUACAUUAAUCUUCCAUCUCAAAGUUCUCAUUAAUUUCUUCCUCUUCUUCUUUUUAUUAUUAUUAUUACUACUAAUACUACUACUACUACUACUAUUAAUAUUAUUACUAUUAUUACUAUUACUAUUACUAUUAUUAUUAUUAUUAUUUACAUUCUUGUUAUAUGUUAUGUACGUUAAGUAUGCUCUGUGUUUGAUCAAGGAUCCUGACAUUGUUGGUCUUGCCUUGUUCAUUCGCAUCAGAAAUCUGUUUAUAUUAUAUAAUAUAUCUCUUUGAUCUUUUCAUAAAAUCAGUAUAUAGGCUGGAAACCUGUGACCCGAUCUUUUAGAUCAUUCUCAGGUAUAACAACGCCACGUACUGAGUAUUAUUAUUAUUAUUAUUACUAUUAUUAUUAUUAUUAUUGUUAUUAUUGUUGUUGUUGUUGCAUUGUUAUUUAUAAUUUAUACAAUUAACCUCUCUGUGGUUCGACCCCGGUCUUGCCGGGUUAUUUAUUACUUCGACACUCCUGCACUUGGGAGAAGACAUCAAUCUUUUGGUCGUGUCAAGUUUUUGGCGCCGUUGCCGGGGAGGUAAGUAUUGUAUAAAUUUUAUAUUUCUUUUUUUUUCUUUUUUUUUUACUUUUAUUUGUUUUUCUAAUUUUGUUCCUUUUCUUUUUCUUUUUCUUUUUCUUUUUCUUUUUCUUUUUCUUUUCUUUUCUUUUGCACUUGCAUGAGAGUUUGGACACGUACAUUAAGUGGUAGACUUUCUAGGAAAUCCUCAAUUUCUUUAGAAAACAUGGCCGAAGAAGAUAACCAGUCAAUUCAUAAUGAGAAUAAUCAUAUGAGAACACUUAGAGAUCACAUGAAUCCAACAAGAACAAGUGCACCAUCAUGUAUAGUUUUUCCUCCUGAUGCUUCUCAUUUUAAUUUUAAGCCAGGUAUUAUUCAACUUUUACCCACUUUUCAUGGCUUAGAAUUAGAAAAUCCAUAUUUGCAUUUAAGAGAAUUUGAAGAAGUUUGUAACACCUAUAAUGACUUAAAUUGUAGCAUGAACACCAUCAGAUUAAAGCUUUUUCCUUUUUCAUUAAAAGAUAAAGCUAAAACAUGGCUACAAAAUAUUAGGUCAGGAUCCAUUCGUGCUUGGGAUGAAAUGCAACAACAAUUUUUAAAGAAGUUUUUUCCGUCUCACAGAACAAACUCUUUCAAAAGACAAAUCACCACUUUCACUCAAAAACCAGGAGAAACAUUUUACAAGUGUUGGGAUAGAUAUAAAGACUUGCUUAAUACCUGUCCUCAUCAUGGUUUUGAAACAUGGAGAUUGGUCUCACAAUUUUAUGAAGGGUUAACACCUAAAGAUAGACAAAUGGUGGAAUUGAUGUGCAAUGGAACUUUUGAAGAUAAAGACCCUGAUGAAGCAAUGGAGUACCUAGACUUGCUAGCUGAAAAUGCUCAAAAUUGGGACACCACAGGUACGUGUGAGGCACCAGGUAAAACUCAACCUCAUACAUCUAAUGGAGGCAUGUACAACCUUAGGGAAGAUCAUGACCUCCAAGCCAAAUUUGCAUCUUUAGCUAGAAAAGUUGAGGCACUAGAAUUAAAAAAGAGUGGUCAAAUAAAAUCUGUUCAAGAAAUUGUGUGUCAAAUUUGUGAAACUAAUGAACACUCAACCAAUGAUUGUCCAACUUUGCCUUCUUUUAAGGAAUGUCUCCAUGAACAAGCCAAUGCUUUAAAUAGUUUCCAAAGUUCUCAUGGGUAUGCAUCUCCUUGUGUUCCCCCUCCUGGAAGAAAUCUUGAGGACACUUUAUAUGCAUUCAUUGAAAAGCAAGAGACAAUCAACACUCAACUUGCUCAAAGCAUGACAGAUUUUAAAGAUACUCUUGCAAAAUUCACAUCUGCUCUCAAUUUUCAUGAGAAAGGUAAGUUCUCAUCUCAACCACAGCAAAAUCCCAAAGGGCAAUACAAUUCAAAUGCAAGUAGUUCUGGAAGCCAACACAUGGAUCAAGUCAAAUCAGUCAUUACUCUCCACGGUGGUAAGGUUAUUGAAAAACCAAUUCUUGAACCUUGUGAGAAAGAUGAUAAGUCAAUCUUUGAGGGUAAGGAAGGGGUUAAACCUGAAUAUUGCAAAGAAAAGACUGAUUCCCCACCAGUACUUCCAUUUCCUCAUGCCAUGACCAAGCAAAGAGAAGUCAAUCACGAUUCUGAAAUUUUUGAAACUUUCAAACAAGAAGAAAUCGAGGAUGAAAAAGGCACCGAAAAUGUUGUCGCGGAUCAUUUGUCAAAAUUGACAAUAGAUUCGACAUCUGACAUCACACCAAUUGAGAAAUACUUUCCUGGUCAAUCCUUACUUUCUCGUAGUCCAAUGCCUUGGUUUGCUAAUCAUAUCAAUUUUCUUGCAACAGGAGAUUUGCCAGCUCACUGGAGUACCGAAGACAAAGGAAAGUUUUUGAGCAACGUGCAGAAAUUUUAUUGGGAUGACCCUUACUUAUUCAAAUAUUGUCCCGAUAAAAUAUUUCGAAGAUGCAUUCCCGACAAUGAGGUAAGUAGUGUCAUUAAAUUUUGUCAUUCUGAAACAUGUAGGGGUCAUUUCUCAUCAAAGAAGACAGCUGCAAAAAUCUUACAAAGUGGAUUUUAUUGGCCCACCAUGUUCAAAGACUCACAUGCAUUCUGCAAAACCUGUGAAAAAUGUCAAAAGGUGGGAUUUAUUUCAAAGCAUCGAGAGUCUUUAGUUAAUCUUCUAUUGACUCUUAAGUCUCAUCAUAAUGGAGAUAUGCAUCGUACAAUUCAUGAUUUAUAGCCUCAUUUUCAUAAAGAACAUGAUCGACUUAGUCUUGGGAAUCUGACUAAAAAAGACCCUGUUUGUCAGUUUUUAAGAAAACUGGAUGGGAAGCCUAUCCCCGACCCAUAGAGGGCGUUUAAGCCGUUCUUGGACGUAAAACCAAGGGAAGAUGUGAGCCACAAUCACAACUGCUUGUACAUACAUAUGUUUUAAAAAAAUUAAUAAAAAUAAAUAAAAUAAAAAAAUAAAAAAGAGAGAGAGAGAAAGUGAGACUCCAGCUAGCCUACAUAUAGGUGGUAUGAUUGCAUUUUUAAUUUCUCAUCUAUAAAAUCUUCUUUUCCUUCCCAUCAUUUCUACUCUACCCAUUCAUUUAACAGGUAUAGAAGUGUGUAGAAAUGGCUAGUUCCUCUGUUCCUAAAAUAAAAAAUAUUUGUGUUUUUUGUGGAUCCAGUCCUGGGAAAGAAAAAGAGUUUUUAGAAUCAGCAAAUCAUCUUGGUCGGGUACUAGCUGAGAGAAAGAUUCAUUUAGUGUAUGGGGGAGGCAGCCUUGGGUUAAUGGGGAGUGUUUCAAUAGCUGCAUUUUUAGGACGCAGUCAAGUUUUGGGGGUCAUCCCCAAAGCUUUAGCCGAAGGGGACAUCAUUGGAAAAACAGUCGGAGAGGAACUACAGGUCUCCAUAAUGUCUGAACGACUAUCUGUAAUGUUUAACCAUGCUGCCUUUAUUGCUUUACCAGGUGGUUUGGGAACUUUAGAAGAGAUAUUUCAUAUUUCAUCUUGGGCUCAGCUGAACAUUCACCAUAAACCUAUAGGUUUGCUAAAUGUUAAUGGUUUUUAUAAUACUUUACUGUCUUUUCUUGAUCAUGCUGUGGAACAACAAUUUCUAACAUUUUCAGCGCGACAAAUCCUCAUCUCUGCUGCUACUGCUGAACAAUUGAUUGAUGAACUUCAAUCUUUCAUCCCUGUAGUUGAUUCCUCUAUGAGUCGACUUAAUUGGUCAAUCACGGAACGCCGUAAAAAGCUUAGAUUGGAUUUGAGCCCUAGUUUGUGAAAUAUUGUGUCUUUUGGUUUUAUUAAUGGUAUAAUAUUUGUGUUUUGUUGUUUCUUGUAUUUGUUUAAGUGUGUUUCAGGUUUGUCAGUAGUCACUGUUUCAGGUGAUGUCUUCUAUACUCUAUCUUUCUACCUUAAAACAUUGAGGACAAUGUCUCGUUUUGGUUGGGGGGAGAGGGUAGUAGUUGAUAUUACAAAAAAAAAAAAUUUAACUAACUGUGUUUCCUAUUGUUACAACCAUUUGCAAACCUGUUGUUACUAGGAUGGCAGAGUAAAGGAGGAACUUUAGUGACUCUUGAGACGUAUCUUAGUAAACAUUCUUAACAAGGUCUAUUAUAAUACUUCUUAAAAUAUUCAGAUUUACAAACUCUCGCAUUGUUAUCACUUAAUUCUGCUCAUAUACUCAUUUAACAAGUAUUCUUAAACCUUCAUUUUCGCACACACACUUUAACAUAUGAUUGUGGGUUGCAUAUUGGAUUAUUACAUUAUUUAUGUUCUUUUGUUAAAGGUAACAACUAAGGGAAAGGGAUAAUAUAUAAUAUGCAAAAAAAACAAAAAACAAAAAAAAAAACAAAAACAAAAAAAUAAAUAAAUAAAUAAAAGUAGAUAAGUUUGGUUUCGUAGCCUCCUUGACCUAAGCAAUUAAGCCCGAAGGGGUGUUUUAACACCUAGUACCCUAAAGUCAACUGACUUGGGAGCUAUUGGUCCAGUGCUUGUUACAUGGGUUAAGGAGAAAAGCUUAAGGGAAUCAAACAUUGCACUAUCUACGUGUCAGUAUCUGCAACCCGAGUUACUAAGCUUGUAGGGGUGUCUCAACACCUGAUGCCCUAAGACCAACUGGUCUGGGAGUCAUUAGCUAAAAGCUCGUUACAUGGGUUCAAGAUACAUUGUAUUAUAAAUUCUUGCUUUCAAAAAAAAAAAAAAAAGAUAAUAAUCCCAACCCAAGGAAGUUAACCUUAAACAUUGGAACAAAAUUUUGUUUUCUUCCAUGAAAAGCUCCAUAGCUAUGUUUUGAUUUACUGAGCACAAAAGGAUGGUUUAUUAAUAUCUUGUUUAAGAAGUACGAAGCAGAUAUAUAAAUUUAAUGAGAGUUUGUUUAUUUGGAUAGAUUAAUGGAAGUUAAAUGAUGAAUACCUUGCUUUGUGGAACUUGCAAAUUGUUUUUGUAUUUUAACACUUUGAUUACUAGGGACUAGUAAUAAGCUGGUUGGGGGGUGUGAUUAGUACUUAAAAGUGCAUUCUCAUUAAGGCUUUAUAUCAUCGUAUUGCACUAAAGUAUCGUUAAAUUCCCUAACUAAAGCAUGUUUUAUAAUAACAAGUCUAAUAAUAUAAUAUAUCUUUAAUUUAUGGUAAAUGCUUGUUUUGAAUGCAGGUAUAUCUCACAAUUCAAAGGAUUGAUUGAUGUGAUUAACAAUUAAAAGUGAAGAGACAAAAAGAGGACUAGGCUAAGAGAAGAGAUGCUGGUUCAAUUCCAAACUGGAACACCAUUCGGUUAUUUGAUCAUAACUAGAGUUGUAGAACUCGGAUUUAGGUCCACUUUAUAUGGAUGGAAAUAUAAGACAUAGACCUAAAACUUUCAUGAAGGGUCCAAGACUCAAUUCUGCCGUUUUCAAGUUCAAAUCUUAGCAACAAAGGAGAAGUCGGAACCUGUCCUGCAGCUCAAACACUGUUCGGUUUUCAGCUCAUAUCUUGAGUUCUAGAAGUCCAUAUGAGCUCUGGUUUUUUUUUUUGGAAAGCUGAGACAAUUUCCCACAGCUUUCAUGAAACAAAGGGCUCAAAUUCUGAUGUUAGCAAUGACGUUUUGGCCAGCCAACAAUAUCAAAAAUCUGCCAACAAUUUCAAGAACCAGCAGCCAACAAUGUCAAAAACCAGCCACCAAAUCAAUGGUUGGCCACCAACUAUUUCCUUAGUCCACCAAGCAAUAGUUCCACAUCUUAGCCUAUAAAAGGAGACAUUUUCCAUGUAUUUAGUCAUCUUGGUUUUCAGAUCAAGAUCAUGUUCUUGCUUUCUUUCUUUAUAUCUUUGUAAUGUUCAAGUUUUCUUUCAUGUUAUAUUAAUCUCUUGUUUAUGCUUUUUCAUUUCCUUUCCUAUAAUUAGUUAACUUAUAUCAUAAUCAUGUUCUUAUCUUGUUUAUUUAUGUUUUUCUUCUUCAUUAUGUUUAGCUAAGUUAAUUAUGUCAAGGUGAAAGGGUUUUACUAAUGGUGUUAGAAUAGGUAUAAUAUAAACUCAACAUGAACUUUAAUGUUUAUAUCCAAGAAAAAUUGUUAUUAGCAUGUCUUAUCUUUUUAUCUUACUAAUCCUUAAUACCUUGCUUUUUCAAUGGUUAAUCUAGAUUUGUGUUGUAUAACACUUGGUACAUCAAAUGCUUGAUCCUUCAUAGUUUUCGGCCGACAUCGUUGUUAUGAUAGGAACUUGAUUUGUUGUUAACAUAAGCUAGCAACAUGAAUGCCUGAUGAUAUUUAUAAGUAUGGUGUUACUUAGACAAGAUAAUUAAUAUGAUCAUGUUAAUACUUUAUAAUGAGCCAUUAAUGAUAAAUCAUCCGAUUAGAACCUCCUUUGUGUGUGGUUUCUAGUUGAGUAAUAAAAAGAGUUUAUAUUAUAUUUAUUUGAAAUACCAUUAGUGAAUCCUCUAACCUUGACAUUUGUUUUUAUCAUUAUUUAAUCCUUACAUUAAUCUUCCAUCUCAAAGUUCUCAUUAAUUUCUUCCUCUUCUUCUUUUUAUUAUUAUUAUUACUACUAAUACUACUACUACUACUACUAUUAAUAUUAUUACUAUUAUUACUAUUACUAUUACUAUUAUUAUUAUUAUUAUUUACAUUCUUGUUAUAUGUUAUGUACGUUAAGUAUGCUCUGUGUUUGAUCAAGGAUCCUGACAUUGUUGGUCUUGCCUUGUUCAUUCGCAUCAGAAAUCUGUUUAUAUUAUAUAAUAUAUCUCUUUGAUCUUUUCAUAAAAUCAGUAUAUAGGCUGGAAACCUGUGACCCGAUCUUUUAGAUCAUUCUCAGGUAUAACAACGCCACGUACUGAGUAUUAUUAUUAUUAUUAUUACUAUUAUUAUUAUUAUUAUUGUUAUUAUUGUUGUUGUUGUUGCAUUGUUAUUUAUAAUUUAUACAAUUAACCUCUCUGUGGUUCGACCCCGGUCUUGCCGGGUUAUUUAUUACUUCGACACUCCUGCACUUGGGAGAAGACAUCAAUCUUUUGGUCGUGUCAAGUUUUUGGCGCCGUUGCCGGGGAGGUAAGUAUUGUAUAAAUUUUAUAUUUCUUUUUUUUUCUUUUUUUUUUACUUUUAUUUGUUUUUCUAAUUUUGUUCCUUUUCUUUUUCUUUUUCUUUUUCUUUUUCUUUUUCUUUUUCUUUUCUUUUCUUUUGCACUUGCAUGAGAGUUUGGACACGUACAUUAAGUGGUAGACUUUCUAGGAAAUCCUCAAUUUCUUUAGAAAACAUGGCCGAAGAAGAUAACCAGUCAAUUCAUAAUGAGAAUAAUCAUAUGAGAACACUUAGAGAUCACAUGAAUCCAACAAGAACAAGUGCACCAUCAUGUAUAGUUUUUCCUCCUGAUGCUUCUCAUUUUAAUUUUAAGCCAGAACAAACUCUUUCAAAAGACAAAUCACCACUUUCACUCAAAAACCAGGAGAAACAUUUUACAAGUGUUGGGAUAGAUAUAAAGACUUGCUUAAUACCUGUCCUCAUCAUGGUUUUGAAACAUGGAGAUUGGUCUCACAAUUUUAUGAAGGGUUAACACCUAAAGAUAGACAAAUGGUGGAAUUGAUGUGCAAUGGAACUUUUGAAGAUAAAGACCCUGAUGAAGCAAUGGAGUACCUAGACUUGCUAGCUGAAAAUGCUCAAAAUUGGGACACCACAGGUACGUGUGAGGCACCAGGUAAAACUCAACCUCAUACAUCUAAUGGAGGCAUGUACAACCUUAGGGAAGAUCAUGACCUCCAAGCCAAAUUUGCAUCUUUAGCUAGAAAAGUUGAGGCACUAGAAUUAAAAAAGAGUGGUCAAAUAAAAUCUGUUCAAGAAAUUGUGUGUCAAAUUUGUGAAACUAAUGAACACUCAACCAAUGAUUGUCCAACUUUGCCUUCUUUUAAGGAAUGUCUCCAUGAACAAGCCAAUGCUUUAAAUAGUUUCCAAAGUUCUCAUGGGUAUGCAUCUCCUUGUGUUCCCCCUCCUGGAAGAAAUCUUGAGGACACUUUAUAUGCAUUCAUUGAAAAGCAAGAGACAAUCAACACUCAACUUGCUCAAAGCAUGACAGAUUUUAAAGAUACUCUUGCAAAAUUCACAUCUGCUCUCAAUUUUCAUGAGAAAGGUAAGUUCUCAUCUCAACCACAGCAAAAUCCCAAAGGGCAAUACAAUUCAAAUGCAAGUAGUUCUGGAAGCCAACACAUGGAUCAAGUCAAAUCAGUCAUUACUCUCCACGGUGGUAAGGUUAUUGAAAAACCAAUUCUUGAACCUUGUGAGAAAGAUGAUAAGUCAAUCUUUGAGGGUAAGGAAGGGGUUAAACCUGAAUAUUGCAAAGAAAAGACUGAUUCCCCACCAGUACUUCCAUUUCCUCAUGCCAUGACCAAGCAAAGAGAAGUCAAUCACGAUUCUGAAAUUUUUGAAACUUUCAAACAAGAAGAAAUCGAGGAUGAAAAAGGCACCGAAAAUGUUGUCGCGGAUCAUUUGUCAAAAUUGACAAUAGAUUCGACAUCUGACAUCACACCAAUUGAGAAAUACUUUCCUGGUCAAUCCUUACUUUCUCGUAGUCCAAUGCCUUGGUUUGCUAAUCAUAUCAAUUUUCUUGCAACAGGAGAUUUGCCAGCUCACUAGAGUACCGAAGACAAAGGAAAGUUUUUGAGCAACGUGCAGAAAUUUUAUUGGGAUGACCCUUACUUAUUCAAAUAUUGUCCCGAUAAAAUAUUUCGAAGAUGCAUUCCCGACAAUGAGGUAAGUAGUGUCAUUAAAUUUUGUCAUUCUGAAACAUGUAGGGGUCAUUUCUCAUCAAAGAAGACAGCUGCAAAAAUCUUACAAAGUGGAUUUUAUUGGCCCACCAUGUUCAAAGACUCACAUGCAUUCUGCAAAACCUGUGAAAAAUGUCAAAAGGUGGGAUUUAUUUCAAAGCAUCGAGAGUCUUUAGUUAAUCUUCUAUUGACUCUUAAGUCUCAUCAUAAUGGAGAUAUGCAUCGUACAAUUCAUGAUUUAUAGCCUCAUUUUCAUAAAGAACAUGAUCGACUUAGUCUUGGGAAUCUGACUAAAAAAGACCCUGUUUGUCAGUUUUUAAGAAAACUGGAUGGGAAGCCUAUCCCCGACCCAUAGAGGGCGUUUAAGCCGUUCUUGGACGUAAAACCAAGGGAAGAUGUGAGCCACAAUCACAACUGCUUGUACAUACAUAUGUUUUAAAAAAAUUAAUAAAAAUAAAUAAAAUAAAAAAAUAAAAAAGAGAGAGAGAGAAAGUGAGACUCCAGCUAGCCUACAUAUAGGUGGUAUGAUUGCAUUUUUAAUUUCUCAUCUAUAAAAUCUUCUUUUCCUUCCCAUCAUUUCUACUCUACCCAUUCAUUUAACAGGUAUAGAAGUGUGUAGAAAUGGCUAGUUCCUCUGUUCCUAAAAUAAAAAAUAUUUGUGUUUUUUGUGGAUCCAGUCCUGGGAAAGAAAAAGAGUUUUUAGAAUCAGCAAAUCAUCUUGGUCGGGUACUAGCUGAGAGAAAGAUUCAUUUAGUGUAUGGGGGAGGCAGCCUUGGGUUAAUGGGGAGUGUUUCAAUAGCUGCAUUUUUAGGACGCAGUCAAGUUUUGGGGGUCAUCCCCAAAGCUUUAGCCGAAGGGGACAUCAUUGGAAAAACAGUCGGAGAGGAACUACAGGUCUCCAUAAUGUCUGAACGACUAUCUGUAAUGUUUAACCAUGCUGCCUUUAUUGCUUUACCAGGUGGUUUGGGAACUUUAGAAGAGAUAUUUCAUAUUUCAUCUUGGGCUCAGCUGAACAUUCACCAUAAACCUAUAGGUUUGCUAAAUGUUAAUGGUUUUUAUAAUACUUUACUGUCUUUUCUUGAUCAUGCUGUGGAACAACAAUUUCUAACAUUUUCAGCGCGACAAAUCCUCAUCUCUGCUGCUACUGCUGAACAAUUGAUUGAUGAACUUCAAUCUUUCAUCCCUGUAGUUGAUUCCUCUAUGAGUCGACUUAAUUGGUCAAUCACGGAACGCCGUAAAAAGCUUAGAUUGGAUUUGAGCCCUAGUUUGUGAAAUAUUGUGUCUUUUGGUUUUAUUAAUGGUAUAAUAUUUGUGUUUUGUUGUUUCUUGUAUUUGUUUAAGUGUGUUUCAGGUUUGUCAGUAGUCACUGUUUCAGGUGAUGUCUUCUAUACUCUAUCUUUCUACCUUAAAACAUUGAGGACAAUGUCUCGUUUUGGUUGGGGGGAGAGGGUAGUAGUUGAUAUUACAAAAAAAAAAAUUUAACUAACUGUGUUUCCUAUUGUUACAACCAUUUGCAAACCUGUUGUUACUAGGAUGGCAGAGUAAAGGAGGAACUUUAGUGACUCUUGAGACGUAUCUUAGUAAACAUUCUUAACAAGGUCUAUUAUAAUACUUCUUAAAAUAUUCAGAUUUACAAACUCUCGCAUUGUUAUCACUUAAUUCUGCUCAUAUACUCAUUUAACAAGUAUUCUUAAACCUUCAUUUUCGCACACACACUUUAACAUAUGAUUGUGGGUUGCAUAUUGGAUUAUUACAUUAUUUAUGUUCUUUUGUUAAAGGUAACAACUAAGGGAAAGGGAUAAUAUAUAAUAUGCAAAAAAACAAAAAACAAAAAAAAAACAAAAACAAAAAAAUAAAUAAAUAAAUAAAAGUAGAUAAGUUUGGUUUCGUAGCCUCCUUGACCUAAGCAAUUAAGCCCGAAGGGGUGUUUUAACACCUAGUACCCUAAAGUCAACUGACUUGGGAGCUAUUGGUCCAGUGCUUGUUACAUGGGUUAAGGAGAAAAGCUUAAGGGAAUCAAACAUUGCACUAUCUACGUGUCAGUAUCUGCAACCCGAGUUACUAAGCUUGUAGGGGUGUCUCAACACCUGAUGCCCUAAGACCAACUGGUCUGGGAGUCAUUAGCUAAAAGCUCGUUACAUGGGUUCAAGAUACAUUGUAUUAUAAAUUCUUGCUUUCAAAAAAAAAAAAAAGAUAAUAAUCCCAACCCAAGGAAGUUAACCUUAAACAUUGGAACAAAAUUUUGUUUUCUUCCAUGAAAAGCUCCAUAGCUAUGUUUUGAUUUACUGAGCACAAAAGGAUGGUUUAUUAAUAUCUUGUUUAAGAAGUACGAAGCAGAUAUAUAAAUUUAAUGAGAGUUUGUUUAUUUGGAUAGAUUAAUGGAAGUUAAAUGAUGAAUACCUUGCUUUGUGGAACUUGCAAAUUGUUUUUGUAUUUUAACACUUUGAUUACUAGGGACUAGUAAUAAGCUGGUUGGGGGGUGUGAUUAGUACUUAAAAGUGCAUUCUCAUUAAGGCUUUAUAUCAUCGUAUUGCACUAAAGUAUCGUUAAAUUCCCUAACUAAAGCAUGUUUUAUAAUAACAAGUCUAAUAAUAUAAUAUAUCUUUAAUUUAUGGUAAAUGCUUGUUUUGAAUGCAGGUAUAUCUCACAAUUCAAAGGAUUGAUUGAUGUGAUUAACAAUUAAAAGUGAAGAGACAAAAAGAGGACUAGGCUAAGAGAAGAGAUGCUGGUUCAAUUCCAAACUGGAACACCAUUCUGUUAUUUGAUCAUAACUAGAGUUGUAGAACUCGGAUUUAGGUCCACUUUAUAUGGAUGGAAAUAUAAGACAUAGACCUAAAACUUUCAUGAAGGGUCCAAGACUCAAUUCUGCCGUUUUCAAGUUCAAAUCUUAGCAACAAAGGAGAAGUCGGAACCUGUCCUGCAGCUCAAACACUGUUCGGUUUUCAGCUCAUAUCUUGAGUUCUAGAAGUCCAUAUGAGCUCUGGUUUUUUUUUUUGGAAAGCUGAGACAAUUUCCCACAGCUUUCAUGAAACAAAGGGCUCAAAUUCUGAUGUUAGCAAUGACGUUUUGGCCAGCCAACAAUAUCAAAAAUCUGCCAACAAUUUCAAGAACCAGCAGCCAACAAUGUCAAAAACCAGCCACCAAAUCAAUGGUUGGCCACCAACUAUUUCCUUAGUCCACCAAGCAAUAGUUCCACAUCUUAGCCUAUAAAAGGAGACAUUUUCCAUGUAUUUAGUCAUCUUGGUUUUCAGAUCAAGAUCAUGUUCUUGCUUUCUUUCUUUAUAUCUUUGUAAUGUUCAAGUUUUCUUUCAUGUUAUAUUAAUCUCUUGUUUAUGCUUUUUCAUUUCCUUUCCUAUAAUUAGUUAACUUAUAUCAUAA